AGAUACUUGUGGCGGUAUUUGUCUCUGAGAUACUUGUGACUGUGAUUGUGUCCGAAAUCCUCCAAUGUUGCCAUGACCUUUGCCAUAAGUCGCAUUACCCAAGCCUUGUAAUUGCGAAAGUGCUUCAUUACCUGAUAAAGAACUAGGAUGAACUCCCAUUUUCACUUUUCAUCAAAUAACCUCUUAUUUUUGCGCCACGGAUGGUUCAUUGGAAGGAAGCGACGAUGACCCAUAUAACACAACUUACUACGUAAGGAAAU
Molecule: long non-coding RNA, 260 nt
Filed under: Nicotiana benthamiana
Lineage: Eukaryota; Viridiplantae; Streptophyta; Magnoliopsida; Solanales; Solanaceae
Description: long non-coding RNA (NBEN_LNC006940)
Source: RNAcentral